This is a non-coding RNA of Pelobates cultripes (western spadefoot toad), 127 nucleotides long. The record is from the annotation of a GenBank genome assembly. Lineage: Eukaryota; Metazoa; Chordata; Amphibia; Anura; Pelobatidae.
UCUUACGGUGCCUGAUUUAAAAAAAUCUUACGGUGCCUGAUUUAAUCAGCUCUCAGAAGCCAUCCAGACUUGGACCUGGUUAGUACUUGUAUGGGAGAUCAACUAGGAACUUCAGGUGCUGUGAGCU